Molecule: ribosomal RNA, 501 nt
Filed under: Aeromonas sp. B2_27
Lineage: Bacteria; Pseudomonadati; Pseudomonadota; Gammaproteobacteria; Aeromonadales; Aeromonadaceae
Description: bacterial SSU rRNA
Rfam family: Bacterial small subunit ribosomal RNA
Source: RNAcentral
UGAUCCUGGCUCAGAUUGAACGCUGGCGGCAGGCCUAACACAUGCAAGUCGAGCGGCAGCGGGAAAGUAGCUUGCUACUUUUGCCGGCGAGCGGCGGACGGGUGAGUAAUGCCUGGGAAAUUGCCCAGUCGAGGGGGAUAACAGUUGGAAACGACUGCUAAUACCGCAUACGCCCUACGGGGGAAAGCAGGGGACCUUCGGGCCUUGCGCGAUUGGAUAUGCCCAGGUGGGAUUAGCUUGUUGGUGAGGUAAUGGCUCACCAAGGCGACGAUCCCUAGCUGGUCUGAGAGGAUGAUCAGCCACACUGGAACUGAGACACGGUCCAGACUCCUACGGGAGGCAGCAGUGGGGAAUAUUGCACAAUGGGGGAAACCCUGAUGCAGCCAUGCCGCGUGUGUGAAGAAGGCCUUCGGGUUGUAAAGCACUUUCAGCGAGGAGGAAAGGUUGAUGCCUAAUACGCAUCAGCUGUGACGUUACUCGCAGAAGAAGCACCGGCUAACU